Non-coding RNA from Phrynosoma platyrhinos (Desert horned lizard), 73 nucleotides. Lineage: Eukaryota; Metazoa; Chordata; Lepidosauria; Squamata; Phrynosomatidae. The record is from the annotation of a GenBank genome assembly.
GCCAGUGUGGCGUAAUGGUUUGAGUGCUGGACUACAGCUCUGGAGACCAGGGGUUCGAUUUCCAGCUGAGCCA